This 460-nucleotide ribosomal RNA is filed under the name uncultured bacterium. Its description in RNAcentral is "partial 16S ribosomal RNA". It matches the Rfam family "Bacterial small subunit ribosomal RNA", at positions 338 to 795 of the family's 1533-position model. The record is from RNAcentral.
CCUACGGGAGGCAGCAGUGAGGAAUAUUGGUCAAUGGACGAGAGUCUGAACCAGCCACGUAGCGUGAAGGAUGACUGCCCUAUGGGUUGUAAACUUCUUUUAUAAAGGAAUAAAACGAGGCACGUGUGCCUUUUUGCAUGGACUUUAUGAAUAAGGAUCGGCUAACUCCGUGCCAGCAGCCGCGGUAAUACGGAGGAUCCGAGCGUUAUCCGGAUUUAUUGGGUUUAAAGGGAGCGUAGAUGGGUUGUUAAGUCAGUUGUGAAAGUUUGCGGCUCAACCGUAAAAUUGCAAUUGAUACUGGCAGUCUUGAGUACAGGAGAGGUAGGCGGAAUUCGUGGUGUAGCGGUGAAAUGCUUAGAUAUCACGAAGAACCCCGAUUGCGAAGGCAGCUUACUAGACUGUUACUGACAUUGAUGCUCGAAAGUGUGGGGAUCAAACAGGAUUAGAUACCCCAGUAGUC